GCAGAGAAUCGUCGCGUCUUCGUAUUUAUCCUUGUCCCUAGUUGCAUUGGGAUCUUCAUCCUUCUACUGUGGGUGUUCAUGAGGUGGAAGAGG
Molecule: long non-coding RNA, 93 nt
Organism: Nothoprocta perdicaria
Lineage: Eukaryota; Metazoa; Chordata; Aves; Tinamiformes; Tinamidae
Exons: 3
Source: RefSeq, a predicted model, not a curated record